This 280-nucleotide ribosomal RNA is filed under the name uncultured bacterium. RNAcentral's name for it is "partial 16S ribosomal RNA". It matches the Rfam family "Bacterial small subunit ribosomal RNA", at positions 506 to 784 of the family's 1533-position model. The record is from RNAcentral.
UGCCAGCAGCCGCGGUAAUACGGAGGGUGCAAGCGUUAUCCGGAAUCACUGGGUUUAAAGGGUGCGUAGGCGGUCUUGUUAGUCAGUCGUGAAAUCGCUGGGCUCAACCCAUGCAAUUGCGAUUGAUACUGCAAGACUUGAAUUAGGUUAAGGCAGGCGGAAUGUGACAUGUAGCGGUGAAAUGCAUAGAUAUGUCAUAGAACACCGAUUGCGAAGGCAGCCUGCUGGGCCUUUAUUGACGCUGAGGCACGAAAGCGUGGGGAGCAAACAGGAUUAGAUA